RNAcentral lists this ribosomal RNA (749 nucleotides) under Salmonella enterica subsp. enterica serovar Virchow. Its description in RNAcentral is "partial 23S ribosomal RNA". It matches the Rfam family "Bacterial large subunit ribosomal RNA", at positions 582 to 1250 of the family's 2925-position model. The record is from RNAcentral. Lineage: Bacteria; Pseudomonadati; Pseudomonadota; Gammaproteobacteria; Enterobacterales; Enterobacteriaceae.
CCCUUCGGGGUGUGACUGCGUACCUUUUGUAUAAUGGGUCAGCGACUUAUAUUCUGUAGCAAGGUUAACCGUAUAGGGGAGCCGUAGGGAAACCGAGUCUUAACCGGGCGUUAAGUUGCAGGGUAUAGACCCGAAACCCGGUGAUCUAGCCAUGGGCAGGUUGAAGGUUGGGUAACACUAACUGGAGGACCGAACCGACUAAUGUUGAAAAAUUAGCGGAUGACCUGUGGCUGGGGGUGAAAGGCCAAUCAAACCGGGAGAUAGCUGGUUCUCCCCGAAAGCUAUUUAGGUAGCGCCUCGUGAAUUCAUCUCCGGGGGUAGAGCACUGUUUCGGCUAGGGGGCCAUCCCGGCUUACCAACCCGAUGCAAACUGCGAAUACCGGAGAAUGUUAUCACGGGAGACACACGGCGGGUGCUAACGUCCGUCGUGAAGAGGGAAACAACCCAGACCGCCAGCUAAGGUCCCAAAGUCAUGGUUAAGUGGGAAACGAUGUGGGAAGGCCCAGACAGCCAGGAUGUUGGCUUAGAAGCAGCCAUCAUUUAAAGAAAGCGUAAUAGCUCACUGGUCGAGUCGGCCUGCGCGGAAGAUGUAACGGGGCUAAACCAUGCACCGAAGCUGCGGCAGCGAACGUAUCACUUAAAGCGAUUCAGCGGGUUACGAUUGACGGAGCGAAGCGACGUCAAAGCGUAUACAAAGUCGAGUCGGUUUAAGGAUACGUUCGUUGGGUAGGGGAGCGUUCUGUAAGCCU